Molecule: ribosomal RNA, 245 nt
Filed under: uncultured Blastocystis sp.
Lineage: Eukaryota; Bigyra; Opalinata; Blastocystidae
Description: partial small subunit ribosomal RNA
Rfam family: Eukaryotic small subunit ribosomal RNA
Source: RNAcentral
AUAGUUAACUUUGAAACUGCGAAUGGCUCAUUAUAUCAGUUAUAGUUUAUUUGAUGAAGAAUACUAAUUGGAUAACCGUAGUAAUUCUAGAGCUAAUACAUGUAUAAAGUCUUGUAGACUGCAUUUAUUAGAAUGAAAACCAUAGGUUUCGGCCUAUUCGUGAGUAAUAAUAACUAAUCAUAUCGUAUGCUUAUGUAACGAUGUGUCUUUCAAGUUUCUGCCCUAUCAGCUUUCGAUGGUAGUGU